This 492-nucleotide ribosomal RNA is filed under the name uncultured bacterium. RNAcentral's name for it is "partial 16S ribosomal RNA". It matches the Rfam family "Bacterial small subunit ribosomal RNA", at positions 29 to 507 of the family's 1533-position model. The record is from RNAcentral.
AGUGAACGCUGGCGGUAGGCCUAACACAUGCAAGCCGAACGGCAGCACAGUAAGAGCUUGCUCUUACGGGUGGCGAGUGGCGGACGGGUGAGGAAUACAUCGGAAGCUACUUUUUCGUGGGGGGUAACGUAGGGAAACUUACGCUAAUACCGCAUACGACCUACGGGUGAAAGCAGGGGAUCUUCGGACCUUGCGCGAUUGAAUGAGCCGAUGUCGGAUUAGCUAGUUGGCGGGGUAAAGGCCCACCAAGGCGACGAUCCGUAGCUGGUCUGAGAGGAUGAUCAGCCACACUGGAACUGAGACACGGUCCAGACUCCUACGGGAGGCAGCAGUGGGGAAUAUUGGACAAUGGGCGCAAGCCUGAUCCAGCCAUACCGCGUGGGUGAAGAAGGCCUUCGGGUUGUAAAGCCCUUUUGUUGGGAAAGAAACGCAGCAGGUUAAUACCCCGCUGUUCUGACGGUACCCAAAGAAUAAGCACCGGCUAACUUCGUG